AGGAUUAACGCUGGCGGCGUGCCUAACACAUGCAAGUCGAACGAGGUAGCAAUACCUAGUGGCAGACGGGUGAGUAACGCGUGGUCAACCUACCGUUGAGUGGGGGAUAACUAGCCGAAAGGUUAGCUAAUACCGCAUACGAGUCUCGGGGGCAUCCCUGGGCCUUAAACGGAGCAAUCCGCUCGAUGACGGGACCGCGUCCCAUUAGCUAGAUGGUGGGGUAAUGGCCUACCAUGGCUCCGAUGGGUAGCUGGUUUGAGAGAGCGACCAGCCACACUGGGACUGAGAAACGGCCCAGACUCCUACGGGAGGCAGCAGUGAGGAAUUUUCCGCAAUGGGCGAAAGCCUGACGGAGCGACGCCGCGUGUGGGAAGAAGGCCUUCGGGUCGUAAACCACUGUCGAAGGGGACGAUAAUGACGGUACCCUUGGAGGAAGCCCCGGCUAACUACGUGCCAGCAGCCGC
Molecule: ribosomal RNA, 464 nt
Filed under: uncultured bacterium
Lineage: Bacteria
Description: SSU rRNA
Rfam family: Bacterial small subunit ribosomal RNA
Source: RNAcentral